RNAcentral lists this ribosomal RNA (252 nucleotides) under uncultured bacterium. Its description in RNAcentral is "partial 16S ribosomal RNA". It matches the Rfam family "Bacterial small subunit ribosomal RNA", at positions 524 to 776 of the family's 1533-position model. The record is from RNAcentral.
UACGUAGGGUGCAAGCGUUAAUCGGAAUUACUGGGCGUAAAGCGUGCGCAGGCGGUUAUGUAAGACAGAUGUGAAAUGCCCGGGCUUAACCUGGGAACUGCAUUGUGACUGCACGGCUGGAGUGCGGCAGAGGGGGAUGGAAUUCCGCGUGUAGCAGUGAAAUGCGUAGAUAUGCGGAGGAACACCGAUGGCGAAGGCAAUCCCCUGGGCCUGCACUGACGCUCAUGCACGAAAGCGUGGGGAGCAAACAGG